GGGUGAUUAGCUCAGCUGGGAGAGCACCUCCCUUACAAGGAGGGGGUCGGCGGUUCGGGUAGAGCAGUUGACUUUUA
This 77-nucleotide transfer RNA is filed under the name Klebsiella pneumoniae. RNAcentral's name for it is "tRNA-Val". The record is from RNAcentral. Lineage: Bacteria; Pseudomonadati; Pseudomonadota; Gammaproteobacteria; Enterobacterales; Enterobacteriaceae.